RNAcentral lists this ribosomal RNA (342 nucleotides) under uncultured bacterium. RNAcentral describes it as "bacterial SSU rRNA". It matches the Rfam family "Bacterial small subunit ribosomal RNA", at positions 18 to 344 of the family's 1533-position model. The record is from RNAcentral.
CAUGGCUCAGGAUGAACGCUGGCGGCGUGCCUAACACAUGCAAGUCGAACGAGAUGCGUAUCGGAAAGCUUCGGCCGGAAGAUACGUUAUCUAGUGGCGGACGGGUGAGUAACACGUGGGUAACCUGCCUUAUGGAGGGGGAUAACAGAGAGAAAUCACUGCUAAUACCGCAUAAGCACACAGUACCGCAUGGUACAGGGUGAAAAGAUUUAUCGCCAUAAGAUGGACCCGCGUCUGAUUAGCCAGUUGGCAGGGUAAAAGCCUACCAAAGCAACGAUCAGUAGCCGAUCUGAGAGGAUGACCGGCCACAUUGGGACUGAGACACGGCCCAAACUCCUACGG